RNAcentral lists this transfer RNA (64 nucleotides) under Odontocolon albotibiale. RNAcentral describes it as "tRNA-Leu". The record is from RNAcentral. Lineage: Eukaryota; Metazoa; Arthropoda; Insecta; Hymenoptera; Ichneumonidae.
UCUAUCAUGGCAGAAAAAUGCAAUGAAUUUAAAUUUCAUUUAUAAAGUUAAUCUUUUUUUAGAA